This 957-nucleotide long non-coding RNA is filed under the name Marmota monax (woodchuck). The record is from RNAcentral. Lineage: Eukaryota; Metazoa; Chordata; Mammalia; Rodentia; Sciuridae.
GCUUGGGUUUUUGCUGACUGAGGGUAAUUCCAGUGUGAUAGUUCCUACAUGACAUUUGAAUUUCCCACAGGGUGUCAAAGAAGGGCGCAUUCAGGCUAUCUUAGCUUGCCAAAAUGUGGGUAGGAGAGGAAGAGGGGAGGGAAUAAGGUUUAAAAGCUGUCAGCAGUCAAACAUCGAAAAUGGAAUCCAACCCUUUAUUAAGUUUUUAUAUUGGAGGAUCUGGGAAAAAAAACCUCUCAAGAGACAUUUUAGCAAAAACUUGAAAGAAUUGGAAUGAUCUAUGAAGGUAUUUGAUAAGCAUCCUUCCUGGCAAAUUCAAAGGCCCAGUGGCAAGAGAGGAGUUGGUAUGUUCAAGAAACAGCAACGAGGCAUUGUGAACAAAACAGGAUCACCUGAAUGUAUGCAGUUAAGAUUCUACUGCAUGCAAAAAAAAAAAAAGCUCUGUAUUAGGUAACUUCUUAUGAAGAAAAUUAUAAAGCUACUGGAAAUUUACAGAAAACUCAAAUAGUUACAUUCAUAUCUAGAAAGAUAACAGUCUCAGAGAAGUAUCAAUACUUAAAUCUAUUAUUCAAUGCUGGUAUAAUCCCACUAGUGUUUUCCAUAGAACCUCAUCAGUUGAUUCUAAAAUAUAUGAGCUAGCAAAGGGCCAAGAUAAGCAAAACUAAUUUUGAAGACAAGAUCAGGGAGGAUUUGAUAUAAAAAUAUCAAAACUUACUAUAAACUCGUAAGGUGUGGUUUUGGUAGUGAUGGACACUCAAACCAAAAAAAAAAAAUCUUUCCAUAUGGAGACAUAAUUUUUUCUUUUUGUCUCACAGAAAUGACACUGAAUUCAAGCCAGGCAUGAUGGUGUAUGCCUGUAAUCCCAAUGGCUCAUGAAACUAGGGCAGAAGGAUCCCAUGUUCAAAGUCAGUCUUGGCAACUUAGUGACGCUCUAAACAACUUAGCGAGGCCCUGUCU